UUUACUGAUUACUUAUUUUCAAAAGUAAUUAAUUACUUAGUUACUUAGUUACUUUUUAAAAACACGAUUUACAACCUGAAUAGGUGCUAAAGCAAUAGAUCUUUCAGCCCAAUUCUACUUUUUCUGCAUAAUCCAUCAUACAAAAUGUAAUCAAAUGGAAAAGUCUCUUUUUAAAACUUGUUUUAUUAGUUUUAAUCUUUUAACUUUAUGCAUCAAGCAAAAAUUAAAUUAUAUGCAACAUUCUCUGACUGGAAGAAAUUUGUUUAACAUUUAAACCUAUUUUCUGCACAUUCCAGCACAUAAAAUAAAAUAUUUUUUUGUGUUUACACUCAGUCUUUCAAAUAAAUCCAAGUGAAACACAGCAGAAAAUAAAUAAAAUCAAAGACUCAGCGGUCCUGUUGCUCUAUUUUCACCUGUAUAGCAGGCGGAUGUUUGCCCUGGUGCAGGUGUGCCGCAGCGGUCAGUGGAAGAAUCCGUGAGUUUGUCUGUGAAUUUCCCAUUCCGUGGUAGCAUCUUCGGUGCUUGCUCGGAAGUUAAGGGUUUUUUCGCUGUAAAAAGAAGUUUUCUUCCCACGCAGUGAACAGCGGACGCUAAUGUUUUUGUCACUUCUUACGGAAUCAAACCUCAAAGUAAGGCCCCAGGCAAAACGGAGAGCCCACCACAGGGACAGGAGGAAAGAGCGAGAGAGAGAGGAGCGCACGAGCGAGCUGUGAUGAUGAAUUGAUUGAUGAAUGCAAAUGAAGAUGAAUGCAUGUGGCAAAUACAGAUAACAAGAGGAAUAUGAAGAGCACAGCAGCUGGUUCACCUUUUCCCCCCCCCUGUAGCAGAAAAUAGGAAUAGCUGAUAUGUAUCUAGCCUAUUAAUACCACGACAGUGACAGUGAACGCACCACUAAACCAGAUAUGGCUCUCUUAUCGCAAAUCGUAUGGCCUAGGAACAGCGGCCACCAGUCUUUCUGUACCAUCUGGAGCCUAAUCACUGGGAUGGGAGAAACAGAUCACCUUCAUCGCCUUACAUCCUAACCUUUAUUGCCCUAUGGAACGUGCCCUUAAACUGACUACAGAUCAGUGUGCAUGUAGAUUAACGAGCAGUCGUUUAUGUUCUUAAUUGUUUGUCCCCAGCGCAGCAUCGCUCCAUCACAAAACAUCCCGAGUGGAAACAACCUGGUGGACACUGGUGUGCGUGGAGGUGGACUGCGCAUGCUUGUGUUUGUGGACGUAGCUUUAUGAUAUCAGCAGAUGUCUCACAGAAGUAUCUGUCAGUAUUUGCAGAUUAAUCCGUUGGUAAUCACGAUAAGUGGGAAGAUAAUAAAUAAAAGUAACUUAGUGUCACUUUUCCUAAUUUUACCUGUAGAAAAUCAGCUUCUUCACCACCAAAAUAAAAAUCUAAUUUUUCUUUUAGUUCACCAGCAGGGAAAUUAGUUUUGUGUUUAUUUUCCAAAGUUUAAUCUCUGAGAUUUCUGUCUCGGUGUCAAGAGUUGAUGUUUUUCCUAAUGAAGUUUAGUCUGUGUGAAAGCAUUUUGCAGCUUAUAAUGAC
Oreochromis aureus is the source of this 1536-nucleotide long non-coding RNA. Lineage: Eukaryota; Metazoa; Chordata; Actinopteri; Cichliformes; Cichlidae. The record is from Ensembl.